CUGACAACCCUGGAGACUGAAACCCUUUAUUCAUCCAUGGAAUAGACCUCAGCAUGGGCAGCAGCACCAACAUCCCCCAACAUUGCCCCAUCGGUGCUUCCUUAUUCUUGACCUUGAGGGGUCAUCUCCAUUAGAUCUCCAUGGUCCAUUCAAUCCUUGGUAUUU
This 165-nucleotide small RNA is filed under the name Chrysemys picta bellii (western painted turtle). RNAcentral describes it as "TUC338 (ENSCPBG00000014957.1)". Lineage: Eukaryota; Metazoa; Chordata; Testudines; Emydidae. The record is from RNAcentral.